GGGAAGGGCGGAGGAAUUAACAUUUGUCGGGUCUAGUGGGCACGGAGCAACCUAAAGCAGGUGCACAUCGGAUCACAGUCAUCACGCCCUCUCUGUGGGCCAUACUCUGUCGUACACGUCUUGUCUGGAGAAGAAAAAGCUAAGGUGCACAGAGGCAAACUUGCCUAUAUAGGGAUCCCUCAUUGCACCUCCACGUUCAUCCAACUCCAUAUCUUCUCCUCACUCCAUAUUUCCAAACCUCCGUUGCUGUGUUUCUAACUAUGUCGUUAGCCAUGGGGGAUGAACAAGUUGUGCCGAAUGAUUCUCAACUAUCGGAAGAAGGAAAUGGGUGGGUUCUCUCGACUCAGUGCCCUACCAAGGCACAAUCAGCCACUGACGUUGGAAACAUCAACGUCAACCCAGAGUUGCCAAUUGACGCGCAGCCACUUGAGGGAGUUACAACGACA
This is a non-coding RNA of Arachis ipaensis, 446 nucleotides long. The record is from RefSeq and is a predicted model, not a curated record. NCBI's taxonomy places the organism in Eukaryota, Viridiplantae, Streptophyta, Magnoliopsida, Fabales, Fabaceae.